GACCGACCUUGACCUUAUGCGAAGGGUUCGAGUGCGAGCACACCUGUUGGGACCCNNAAGAUGGUGAACUAUGCCUGAGCAGGGCGAAGCCAGAGGAAACUCUGGUGGAGGCUCGUAGCGAUACUGACGUGCAAAUCGUUCGUCUGACUUGGGUAUAGGGGCGAAAGACUAAUCGAACCAUCUAGUAGGNAACGUUAGGAAAUCCGGAGACGUCGUCGGGGGCCCCGGGAAGAGUUAUCUUUUCUUUUUAACAGCUUGCCCACCCUGGAAUCGGUUCASSCGGAGRUAGGGUCCAGCAGCUGGAAGAGGACACGUCUUGCGGUNUCCGGUGCCCUCGGCGGCCCUUGAAAAUCUGGAGGACGGAAAAGGAUUGGCUCUGAGGGCUGGGCCUAGGGGUCUNGCGCCCUGAACUCGUGGACUGUCGGCAGUCUGCCCGAGCUGUCUCGCGUGCCGAUUGGGCUACGGCUCGGGGGNUUUUCCCUAGGNGUCGAACAGUCGACUCAGAACUGGUACGGACAAGGGGRAUCCGACUGUUUAAUUAAAACAAAGCAUUGCGAUGGU
This 561-nucleotide ribosomal RNA is filed under the name Pinus taeda (loblolly pine). RNAcentral describes it as "28S rRNA". It matches the Rfam family "Eukaryotic large subunit ribosomal RNA", at positions 763 to 2169 of the family's 3401-position model. The record is from RNAcentral. Lineage: Eukaryota; Viridiplantae; Streptophyta; Pinopsida; Pinales; Pinaceae.